GUCGGUAAAAUAUAUUUCCCCUUCAUUAGUUAUCGUUUUAAAAAUGAGAUGCUCAUCUAAUUGAUAGUUUGCCAUUUCAAUCAUCUUUUCAUCCGCAGAAC
RNAcentral lists this non-coding RNA (101 nucleotides) under Bacillus methanolicus MGA3. Lineage: Bacteria; Bacillati; Bacillota; Bacilli; Caryophanales; Bacillaceae. The record is from RNAcentral.